GGGAGGGGAUUGGGGUGACAGUAAGUGACCCAGGUGACACAGAUGACAGAGAGCAGGUGACCUAGGUGUGACCCAGGUGUGUCCCAGGUGUGACCCAGGUGUGUCCCAGGUGUGUCCCCAUGCCAGGUGUGGUGAAGGUGACCCCCGGGCACAGGACCCAAGGGUGACACUGGGUGACAAUAGGUGACAGUAGGUGACAGUAGGCAAUACAGGUGUGUCCCAGGUGUGACCAGGUGUGUCCCAGGUGUGUCCCAGGUGUGUCCCCAUGCCAGGUGCGGUGAAGGUGACCCCCGGGCACAGGACCCAAGGGUGACACUGGGUGACAAUAGGUGACAAUAGGCAGUACAGGUGUGACCCAGGUGUGACCAGGUG
Molecule: long non-coding RNA, 372 nt
Organism: Serinus canaria (Common canary)
Lineage: Eukaryota; Metazoa; Chordata; Aves; Passeriformes; Fringillidae
Exons: 3
Source: RefSeq, a predicted model, not a curated record